GCCUACGGGAGGCAGCAGUGGGGAAUAUUGCACAAUGGGGGAAACCCUGAUGCAGCGACGCCGCGUGAGUGAAGAAGUAAUUCGUUACGUAAAGCUCUAUCAGCAGGGAAGAAAAUGACGGUACCUGAGUAAGAAGCCCCGGCUAACUACGUGCCAGCAGCCGCGGUAAUACGUAGGGGGCAAGCGUUAUCCGGAUUUAUUGGGUGUAAAGGGUGCGUAGACGGGAAGGCAAGUUAGUUGUGAAAUCCCUCGGCUUAACUGAGGAACUGCAACUAAAACUAUCUUUCUUGAGUGCUGGUGAGGAA
Molecule: ribosomal RNA, 305 nt
Filed under: uncultured bacterium
Lineage: Bacteria
Description: bacterial SSU rRNA
Rfam family: Bacterial small subunit ribosomal RNA
Source: RNAcentral